AAUAUUGGACAAUGGGCGAAAGCCUGAUCCAGCCAUGCCGCGUGGAUGAUGAAGGCCCUAUGGUUGUAAAGACCUUUUGACGGGGAAGAUAAUGACGGUACCCGUAGAAGAAGCCCCGGCUAACUUCGUGCCAGCAGCCGCGGUAAUACGAAGGGGGCUAGCGUUGCUCGGAAUCACUGGGCGUAAAGCGCACGUAGGCGGCUUUUUAAGUCAGGGGUGAAAUCCUGGAGCUCAACUCCAGAACUGCCUUUGAUACUGGAGAGCUUGAGUUCGGGAGAGGUGAGUGGAGCUGCGAGUGUAGAGGUGAAAUUCGUAGAUAUUCACAAGAACACCAGUGGCGAAGGCGGCUCACUGGCCCGAUACUGACGCUGAGGUGCGAAAGCGUGGGGAGCAAACAGG
This 399-nucleotide ribosomal RNA is filed under the name uncultured bacterium. Its description in RNAcentral is "partial 16S ribosomal RNA". It matches the Rfam family "Bacterial small subunit ribosomal RNA", at positions 360 to 776 of the family's 1533-position model. The record is from RNAcentral.